AACGAACGCUGGCGGCAGGCCUAACACAUGCAAGUCGAGCGGACCCUCCGGGGUUAGCGGCGGACGGGUGAGUAACGCGUGGGAAUAUGCCCUUCUCUACGGAAUAGUCCUGGGAAACUGGGGGUAAUACCGUAUACGCCCUUUGGGGGAAAGAUUUAUCGGGGAAGGAUUAGCCCGCGUUGGAUUAGGUAGUUGGUGGGGUAAUGGCCUACCAAGCCGACGAUCCAUAGCUGGUUUGAGAGGAUGAUCAGCCACACUGGGACUGAGACACGGCCCAGACUCCUACGGGAGGCAGCAGUGGGGAAUCUUAGACAAUGGGGGCAACCCUGAUCUAGCCAUGCCGCGUGAGUGAUGAAGGCCUUAGGGUUGUAAAGCUCUUUCAACUGGGAAGAUAAUGACGGUACCAGCAGAAGAAGCCCCGGCUAACUCCGUG
Molecule: ribosomal RNA, 433 nt
Filed under: uncultured bacterium
Lineage: Bacteria
Description: partial 16S ribosomal RNA
Rfam family: Bacterial small subunit ribosomal RNA
Source: RNAcentral